RNAcentral lists this ribosomal RNA (252 nucleotides) under uncultured Acholeplasma sp. RNAcentral describes it as "partial 16S ribosomal RNA". It matches the Rfam family "Bacterial small subunit ribosomal RNA", at positions 524 to 776 of the family's 1533-position model. Lineage: Bacteria; Bacillati; Mycoplasmatota; Mollicutes; Acholeplasmatales; Acholeplasmataceae. The record is from RNAcentral.
UACAUAGGGGGCGAGCGUUAUCCGGAUUUACUGGGCGUAAAGGGUGCGUAGGUUGUUAAUUAAGUUUCUGGUAUAAGUGCAGUGCUUAACGCUGUGAUGCUAGAAAAACUGGUUGGCUAGAGUGAGACAGAGGUAAGUGGAAUUCCAUGUGUAGCGGUAAAAUGCGUAAAUAUAUGGAGGAACACCAGUGGCGAAGGCGGCUUACUGGGUCUUUACUGACACUGAUGCACGAAAGCGUGGGGAGCAAACAGG